RNAcentral lists this ribosomal RNA (1146 nucleotides) under Triticum aestivum (bread wheat). RNAcentral describes it as "partial small subunit ribosomal RNA". The record is from RNAcentral. Lineage: Eukaryota; Viridiplantae; Streptophyta; Magnoliopsida; Poales; Poaceae.
AUGGCUGGUCGGUACAAUCGCACAAACUACUCUUCCUACCUGAACGACGAACCAAUGCCUGACGCCACUUCAGAAAAGGAACAGGGUAAUGAGUACUUCAAGCAGAAGAAGUUUGCUGAAGCGGUUGAGUGCUACUCGAGAAGUAUCGCAUUGUCGCCGACGGCUGUUGCCUUUGCCAAUCGAGCUAUGGCGUAUCUUAAACUAAGAAGAUUUGAAGCGGCAGAGAAUGAUUGCACUGAGGCUCUGAAUCUGGAUGACCGUUAUGUUAAAGCAUACUCACGCAGAAUUACUGCAAGAAAAGGACUUGGGAAGCUUAAGGAAGCAAUGGAUGAUGCUGAAUUUGCUGUAAGUGUCGAUGCUAACAAUCCAGAAUUGAGGAAACAAUAUUCUGAGAUAAAGGCACUACUCAUGGAGAAAAUGGCCAAGAGAAGUUCAGUUCAAGCUAAGCAUACAAUUUCUGAAUUUGAUAAAGCUGGGGAUAGAAAAAAUAUCACUUCUCAUGCACCAAGUGAUCCCCAGAAGGACAGUUUCAUGGAAGUUGAUCCGCCUGGGAGAGCUGCGGCUGGGAUCAGAGAAUUAUCAGGUGGUGCGUCCAAAGGAGGAUCUGGUGUAAGCCUCAAAGACAAUAACAUGCAGCAAUCUCGAGAUGCUAAACAGAAACCUGGACCAGAAAUAUCAGUGCAAGAGCUUGCAUCACGUGCUGCUUCACGAUAUAUAUCCAACACUGUAAAAAGUGUGAAGACACCAAAGACAGCUUAUGAUUUUGAGGUUUCUUGGAGAGCUAUCUCUGACGACCUUACCCAGCAAAUACAGUUGUUAAAGUCAAUUCGACCAGAGAGACUUCCAGAGAUUUUUAAGGAUGCACUUUCAUCAGCUUUUCUGAUUGAUAUCGUGAAGUGCACAGCCUCAAUUUUCCGGGAUGAUGCAGUGUUAGCAGUUAGCAUUUUGGAGAAUUUGGCGAAAGUUUCUCGCUUUGACUUGAUCAUCAUGUGCCUCUCACCCAUGCAUAAAUCUGAACUGCGGAAGAUAUGGAGUCAAACAUUCCUUGUUGAAACUGCAUCACCAGAUCAAGUUGAAGCCCUCAGGCGGCUGCAAGCCAAAUACGUUCAAGGAGGAUGGCAUGAUGACAUGUUCACUUUGAGCUAA